GACGAACGCUGGCGGCGUGCUUAUCACAUGCAAGUCGAACGGAAAGGCCCUGCUUUUGUGGGGUGCUCUAGUGGCGAACGGGUGAGUAACACGUGAGUAACCUGCCCUUGACUUUGGGAUAACUUCAGGAAACUGGGGCUAAUACCGGAUAGGAGCUCCUGCUGCAUGGUGGGGGUUGGAAAGUUUCGGCGGUUGGGGAUGGACUCGCGGCUUAUCAGCUUGUUGGUGGGGUAGUGGCUUACCAAGGCUUUGACGGGUAGCCGGCCUGAGAGGGUGACCGGCCACAUUGGGACUGAGAUACGGCCCAGACUCCUACGGGAGGCAGCAGUGGGGAAUAUUGCACAAUGGGCGGAAGCCUGAUGCAGCAACGCCGCGUGCGGGAUGACGGCCUUCGGGUUGUAAACCGCUUUCGCCUGUGACGAAGCGUGAGUGACGGUAAUGGGUAAAGAAGCACCGGCUAACUACGUG
RNAcentral lists this ribosomal RNA (468 nucleotides) under uncultured bacterium. RNAcentral describes it as "partial 16S ribosomal RNA". It matches the Rfam family "Bacterial small subunit ribosomal RNA", at positions 28 to 507 of the family's 1533-position model. The record is from RNAcentral.